GUCGAGCGCGCAUAGUAAUAUGUCAGCGGCAGACGGGUGAGUAACGCGUGGGAACGUACCUUUUGGUUCGGAACAACACAGGGAAACUUGUGCUAAUACCGGAUAAGCCCUUACGGGGAAAGAUUUAUCGCCGAAAGAUCGGCCCGCGUCUGAUUAGCUAGUUGGUGAGGUAAUGGCUCACCAAGGCGACGAUCAGUAGCUGGUCUGAGAGGAUGAUCAGCCACAUUGGGACUGAGACACGGCCCAAACUCCUACGGGAGGCAGCAGUGGGGAAUAUUGGACAAUGGGCGCAAGCCUGAUCCAGCCAUGCCGCGUGAGUGAUGAAGGCCCUAGGGUUGUAAAGCUCUUUUGUGCGGGAAGAUAAUGACGGUACCGCAAGAAUAAGCCCCGGCUAACUUCGUGCCAGCAGCCGCGGUAAUACGAAGGGGGCUAGCGUUGCUCGGAAUCACUGGGCGUAAAGGGUGCGUAGGCGGGUCUUUAAGUCAGGGGUGAAAUCCUGGAGCUCAACUCCAGAACUGCCCUUGAUACUGAGGAUCUUGAGUUCGGGAGAGGUGAGUGGAACUGCGAGUGUANAGGUGAAAUUCGUAGAUAUUCGCAAGAACACCAGUGGCGAAGGCGGCUCACUGGCCCGAUACUGACGCUGAGGCACGAAAGCGUGGGGAGCAAACAGGA
Molecule: ribosomal RNA, 672 nt
Filed under: Bradyrhizobium sp. Cs161
Lineage: Bacteria; Pseudomonadati; Pseudomonadota; Alphaproteobacteria; Hyphomicrobiales; Nitrobacteraceae
Description: bacterial SSU rRNA
Rfam family: Bacterial small subunit ribosomal RNA
Source: RNAcentral